Molecule: ribosomal RNA, 253 nt
Filed under: uncultured archaeon
Lineage: Archaea
Description: partial 16S ribosomal RNA
Rfam family: Archaeal small subunit ribosomal RNA
Source: RNAcentral
UACCCGCGGCCCGAGUGGUGCUCAUUAUUAUUGAGUCUAAAACGUCCGUAGCCGGUCGGGUAGAUUCCUGGGUAAAUCGAGCCGCUUAACGGUUCGAAUUCCGGGGAGACCGCGCGACUAGGGACCGGGAGAGGCGUGAGGUACUCCUGGGGUAGGGGUAAAAUCCUGUAAUCCUGGGAGGACCACCAGUGGCGAAGGCGUCAUGCUAGAACGGAUCCGACGGUCAGGGACGAAGCCCAGGGGCGCAAACGGG